RNAcentral lists this ribosomal RNA (813 nucleotides) under uncultured Bacillota bacterium. RNAcentral describes it as "bacterial SSU rRNA". It matches the Rfam family "Bacterial small subunit ribosomal RNA", at positions 70 to 914 of the family's 1533-position model. The record is from RNAcentral. Lineage: Bacteria; Bacillati; Bacillota.
AAAGCGGGGGCAACCUCGUGAGUAAAGUGGCGUACGGGUGAGUAACACGUGGGUAAUCUACCUCUUGGUGGGGAAUAACGCUGGGAAACCGGCGCUAAUACCGCAUAAGCUCGGGAGAGGAAAGCAGCAAUGCGCCGAGAGAGGAACCCGCGGCCGAUUAGCUAGUUGGUGAGGUAACGGCCCACCAAGGCUAAGAUCGGUAGCCGGCCUGAGAGGGCACACGGCCACACUGGCACUGAAACACGGGCCAGACUCCUACGGGAGGCAGCAGUGGGGAAUCUUGCACAAUGGGGGCAACCCUGAUGCAGCGACGCCGCGUGAGCGAUGAAGCCCUUCGGGGUGUAAAGCUCUUUCGGCAGGGAAGAAUCAUGACGGUACCUGCAGAAGCAGCUGCGGCUAACUACGUGCCAGCAGCCGCGGUAAUACGUAGGCAGCGAGCGUUGUUCGGAGUUACUGGGCGUAAAGGGCGUGUAGGCGGUCCUCUAAGUUUGGUGUGAAGUCUCCCGGCUCAACCGGGAGGGUGCGCCGAAAACUGGGGGACUAGAGUGCGGGAUGGGAAAGUGGAAUUCCUGGUGUAGCGGUGAAAUGCGUAGAUAUCAGGAGGAACACCGGUGGUGUAGACGGCUUUCUGGACCGUAACUGACGCUGAGACACGAAAGCGUGGGUAGCAAACAGGAUUAGAUACCCUGGUAGUCCACGCCCUAAACGAUGCAUAUUUGGUGUAGGUCAUUCAGUUGAUCUGUGCCGGAGCUAACGCGUUAAAUAUGCCGCCUGGGGAGUACAGUCGCAAGGCUGAAACUCAAAGGAAUUGAC